UCGMACGGAAUAAUGACUUCGGUUGUUGUUUAGUGGCGGAAGGGUUAGUAAUACAUAGAUAAUCUGUCCUCAACUUGGGAAUAACGGUUGGAAACGACCGCUAAUACCGAAUGUGGUAUGUUUAGGCAUCUAAAACAUAUUAAAGAAGGGGAUCUUCGGACCUUUCGGUUGAGGGAGAGUCUAUGGGAUAUCAGCUUGUUGGUGGGGUAAUGGCCUACCAAGGCUUUGACGUCUAGGCGGAUUGA
This 245-nucleotide ribosomal RNA is filed under the name uncultured Chlamydia sp. RNAcentral describes it as "partial 16S ribosomal RNA". The record is from RNAcentral. Lineage: Bacteria; Pseudomonadati; Chlamydiota; Chlamydiia; Chlamydiales; Chlamydiaceae.